This 453-nucleotide ribosomal RNA is filed under the name uncultured bacterium. RNAcentral's name for it is "bacterial SSU rRNA". It matches the Rfam family "Bacterial small subunit ribosomal RNA", at positions 340 to 786 of the family's 1533-position model. The record is from RNAcentral.
UACGGAAGGCAGCAGUGGGGAAUAUUGCACAAUGGGCGCAAGCCUGAUGCAGCCAUGCCGCGUGUAUGAAGAAGGCCUUCGGGUUAUAAAGUACUUUCAGUCGUGAGGAAGGUGUUAAGGUUAAUAACCUUAGCAAUUGACGUUAGCGACAGAAGAAGCACCGGCUAACUCCGUGCCAGCAGCCGCGGUAAUACGGAGGGUGCGAGCGUUAAUCGGAAUUACUGGGCGUAAAGGGCACGCAGGCGGUUAAUUAAGUUGGAUGUGAAAUCCCCGGGCUUAACCUGGGAAUGGCAUUCAAGACUGGUUAGCUAGAGUCUUGUAGAGGGGGUAGAAUUCCAUGUGUAGCGGUGAAAUGCGUAGAGAUGUGGAGGAAUACCGGUGGCGAAGGCGGCCCCUGGGACAAAGACUGACGCUCAUGUGCGAAAGCGUGGGGAGCAAACAGGAUUAGAUACC